This 55-nucleotide transfer RNA is filed under the name Apilactobacillus kunkeei. RNAcentral describes it as "Lactobacillus kunkeei tRNA-Gly". It matches the Rfam family "tRNA", at positions 8 to 61 of the family's 71-position model. From Rfam's summary of the family: Transfer RNA (tRNA) molecules are approximately 80 nucleotides in length. The record is from RNAcentral. Lineage: Bacteria; Bacillati; Bacillota; Bacilli; Lactobacillales; Lactobacillaceae.
UAGUUCAGUGGUAGAACAUCACCUUGCCAUGGUGGGGGUCGCGGGUUCGAAUCCC